CAGUAGUCGAGGAGAGCCGCUCGGAGGGGACCAUCGCCGUCGGCCUCUAUGUCAAGUACCUGAAGGCAGGCGCCAACAUCCUGGUGUUGAUAGGAGUUGUAUUACUCCAGUUCCUAGCUCAGGCAGCAUACAUUCUACAGGACUGGUGGCUGGCAUAUUGGGCAGGAGAGCAGGAGAAGCUCAAUGUUAACGGCACUGUGACCGUCCAAAAUGGUGUCAACGUCACUGAAGAGCUGAGCCUGGAUUUCUACCU
Long non-coding RNA from Oncorhynchus kisutch (coho salmon), 253 nucleotides. RefSeq lists it as uncharacterized. NCBI's taxonomy places the organism in Eukaryota, Metazoa, Chordata, Actinopteri, Salmoniformes, Salmonidae. The transcript is spliced from 3 exons. The record is from RefSeq and is a predicted model, not a curated record.